This 303-nucleotide long non-coding RNA is filed under the name Androctonus crassicauda. The record is from RNAcentral. Lineage: Eukaryota; Metazoa; Arthropoda; Arachnida; Scorpiones; Buthidae.
GUAAGAUGGUAGCUUACCUGGUUCAGGAUCGCGCAAGAUGCAGUCGCCAGCCAGCUGGUGGUGGCAAAAGACUGGCAUCCGAGCCCGUGCACUUCUCGCUCUACACUCUCAUGCAGCACCCUCCUGCGAUGUUGCACCCUAACAUCUCCCCUGUACCUCGUUCUUCAGCUCUGGGUUUGCUAUUUACCGCACAACCAUGCAUGGAAAAAAACCCCUUAUGUCUAGCCAGUCUCGAACCUACAACCUCGGCUAUGCCGUCCUGUCACCUAACCUACUAGGCCAUUUGGACUGCUUGACAGUAUA